UACGUAUGGGGCAAGCGUUAUCCGGAUUUACUGGGUGUAAAGGGAGCGCAGGCGGCUUGGCAAGUCUGAUGUGAAAGGCUGGGGCUCAACCCCAGGACUGCAUUGGAAACUGUUAGGCUGGAGUGUCGGAGAGGUAAGCGGAAUUCCUAGUGUAGCGGUGAAAUGCGUAGAUAUUAGGAGGAACACCAGUGGCGAAGGCGGCUUACUGGACGACAACUGACGCUGAGGCUCGAAAGCGUGGGGAGCAAACAGG
This 253-nucleotide ribosomal RNA is filed under the name uncultured bacterium. RNAcentral describes it as "partial 16S ribosomal RNA". It matches the Rfam family "Bacterial small subunit ribosomal RNA", at positions 524 to 776 of the family's 1533-position model. The record is from RNAcentral.